Molecule: non-coding RNA, 79 nt
Organism: Podarcis lilfordi (Lilford's wall lizard)
Lineage: Eukaryota; Metazoa; Chordata; Lepidosauria; Squamata; Lacertidae
Source: the annotation of a GenBank genome assembly
UUGAUGAUAGCUCAGAUAGUUGGUGGACCAUGAGACUUUUAAUCUCAGGGUCGUGGGUUUGAGCCCCACAUUGUGCAAA